Molecule: transfer RNA, 43 nt
Filed under: Apocalathium aciculiferum
Lineage: Eukaryota; Dinophyceae; Thoracosphaerales; Thoracosphaeraceae
Description: partial Selenocysteine transfer RNA
Source: RNAcentral
CGGCGUCAGUCGUCUGCAGCAGCGGUUCGAGCAAAAGCCUCCG